UUUCCAGACUCCUACGGGAGGCAGCAGUGAGGAAUAUUGGUCAAUGGGCGGGAGCCUGAACCAGCCAAGUCGCGUGAGGGAAGACGGUCCUAUGGAUUGUAAACCUCUUUAGGCGGGGAGCAAUGCCGGGCACGCGUGCCCGGAGGGAGAGUACCCGCAGAAUAAGCAUCGGCUAACUCCGUGCCAGCAGCCGCGGUAAUACGGAGGAUGCGAGCGUUAUCCGGAUUUAUUGGGUUUAAAGGGUGCGUAGGCGGAUUUUUAAGUCAGCGGUAAAAUCGCGGGGCUCAACCUCGGUCCGCCGUUGAAACUGGCGUUCUUGAGUGGGCGAGAAGUAUGCGGAAUGCGUGGUGUAGCGGUGAAAUGCAUAGAUAUCACGCAGAACUCCGAUUGCGAAGGCAGCAUACCGGCGCCCAACUGACGCUGAAGCACGAAAGCGUGGGUAUCGAACAGGAUUAGAUACCCGCGUAGA
This 469-nucleotide ribosomal RNA is filed under the name uncultured bacterium. Its description in RNAcentral is "bacterial SSU rRNA". It matches the Rfam family "Bacterial small subunit ribosomal RNA", at positions 328 to 794 of the family's 1533-position model. The record is from RNAcentral.